RNAcentral lists this ribosomal RNA (253 nucleotides) under uncultured bacterium. Its description in RNAcentral is "partial 16S ribosomal RNA". It matches the Rfam family "Bacterial small subunit ribosomal RNA", at positions 524 to 776 of the family's 1533-position model. The record is from RNAcentral.
UACGGGGGGGGCAAGCGUUGUUCGGAAUUACUGGGCGUAAAGGGCUUGUAGGCGGCCAACUAAGUCAGACGUGAAAUCCCUCGGCUUAACCGGGGAACUGCGUCUGAUACUGGAUGGCUUGAGUUCGGGAGAGGGAUGCGGAAUUCCAGGUGUAGCGGUGAAAUGCGUAGAUAUCUGGAGGAACACCGGUGGCGAAGGCGGCGACCUGGUUCAUUACUGACGCUGAGGCACGAAAGCUAGGGUAGCGAACGGG